Non-coding RNA from Pelobates cultripes (western spadefoot toad), 215 nucleotides. Lineage: Eukaryota; Metazoa; Chordata; Amphibia; Anura; Pelobatidae. The record is from the annotation of a GenBank genome assembly.
UCGGGGUUAAGAAUGCACAAGCAACUUACACACUAAAUGUUAGUGAAUUAGGGAUAACCACACACGAGAAGGAUUUGGGAAUUGUUAUAGACAACAAAUUAGGCAGCAAUAUGCAAUGUCAAUCUGCAGUUGCUAAGGCCAGUAAGAUUUUGUCAUGUAUAAAUAGGGGCAUAAAUUCUCGGGAUGAAAAUAUAAUUUGGCCUCUUUAUAAAUCG